RNAcentral lists this microRNA precursor (121 nucleotides) under Citrus sinensis (sweet orange). RNAcentral's name for it is "miR530a stem-loop (csi-MIR530a)". Its record names the gene csi-MIR530a. The record is from miRBase by way of RNAcentral. Lineage: Eukaryota; Viridiplantae; Streptophyta; Magnoliopsida; Sapindales; Rutaceae.
AUUUAUCUGCAUUUGCACCUGCACCUUGCUGUGCUGUUAUCUGGGUUGACGAGGAUCAUCAUGAUGAUCAGCUUCAAAACUCGAAAGCAUGAAGGUGCAGCUGUAUAUGCAGGUGAAUGCC